This 465-nucleotide ribosomal RNA is filed under the name Vreelandella stevensii. RNAcentral's name for it is "partial 16S ribosomal RNA". It matches the Rfam family "Bacterial small subunit ribosomal RNA", at positions 338 to 795 of the family's 1533-position model. Lineage: Bacteria; Pseudomonadati; Pseudomonadota; Gammaproteobacteria; Oceanospirillales; Halomonadaceae. The record is from RNAcentral.
CUUACGGGGGGCAGCAGUGGGGAAUAUUGGACAAUGGGGGCAACCCUGAUCCAGCCAUGCCGCGUGUGUGAAGAAGGCCCUCGGGUUGUAAAGCACUUUCAGUGAGGAAGAACGCCUGGUGGUUAAUACCCAUCAGGAAAGACAUCACUCACAGAAGAAGCACCGGCUAACUCCGUGCCAGCAGCCGCGGUAAUACGGAGGGUGCGAGCGUUAAUCGGAAUUACUGGGCGUAAAGCGCGCGUAGGUGGCUUGAUAAGCCGGUUGUGAAAGCCCCGGGCUCAACCUGGGAACGGCAUCCGGAACUGUCAAGCUAGAGUGCAGGAGAGGAAGGUAGAAUUCCCGGUGUAGCGGUGAAAUGCGUAGAGAUCGGGAGGAAUACCAGUGGCGAAGGCGGCCUUCUGGACUGACACUGACACUGAGGUGCGAAAGCGUGGGUAGCAAACAGGAUUAGAUACCCCUGUAGUC